UACGGAGGAUGCGAGCGUUAUCCGGAUUUAUUGGGUUUAAAGGGUGCGUAGGCGGUCCGUUAAGUCAGCGGUAAAAUUGCGGGGCUCAACCCCGUCGAGCCGUUGAAACUGGCAGACUUGAGUUGGCGAGAAGUACGCGGAAUGCGCGGUGUAGCGGUGAAAUGCAUAGAUAUCGCGCAGAACACCGAUUGCGAAGGCAGCUUACCAAGCUACUUCUGACGUUGAGGCACGAAAGCGUGGGUAUCGAACAGG
Molecule: ribosomal RNA, 252 nt
Filed under: uncultured Bacteroidales bacterium
Lineage: Bacteria; Pseudomonadati; Bacteroidota; Bacteroidia; Bacteroidales
Description: partial 16S ribosomal RNA
Rfam family: Bacterial small subunit ribosomal RNA
Source: RNAcentral